GAUGAACGCUGGCGGCGUGCUUAACACAUGCAAGUCGAACGAAGAUAUUAGAAAUGAGAGCUUCGGCAGGAAUUUUUUCUAUCUUAGUGGCGGACGGGUGAGUAACGUGUGGGCAACCUGCCCUGCACUGGGGAAUAAUCAUUGGAAACGAUGACUAAUACCGCAUACGGUUCCUGGGAGGCAUCUUCUGGGAAAGAAAGGAUUUAUUCGGUGCAGGAUGGGCCCGCAUCUGAUUAGCUAGUUGGUGGGAUAACAGCCCACCAAGGCGACGAUCAGUAGCCGACCUGAGAGGGUGACCGGCCACAUUGGGACUGAGACACGGCCCAA
RNAcentral lists this ribosomal RNA (327 nucleotides) under uncultured bacterium. RNAcentral describes it as "bacterial SSU rRNA". It matches the Rfam family "Bacterial small subunit ribosomal RNA", at positions 28 to 334 of the family's 1533-position model. The record is from RNAcentral.